UAGCAUAAUCAUUAGUUUUUUAAUUGAGAACUGGAAUGAAAGGUUAAAUAAAAAAUAAUCUUUAUUAAUAUUAAAAUUUUUGAAUUUGUUUUUUUAGUAAAAAAACUAAAAUAAAUAAAAAAGACGAUAAGACCCUAUAAAGCUUUAUAAUACAAUAAUUUAAUAAUUUAUUAGAAUAUUUAAAUUAUUUUUUUUUUAUUAUUUGAUUGGGGUGAUUUAAAGAUUUAUAAAACUCUUUAUUUUUGUAAUAUUUCAUAUUUAAAUGUGUUUUGAUCCUUAAAAUUUUAAGAAUAUAAAAAUAAGUUACUUUAGGGAUAACAGCGUAAUUUUUUUGAAGAGUUCUAAUCGAUAAAAAAGAUUGCGACCUCGAUGUUGAAUUAAGAUAAAAAUUAGGUGCAGAAGUUUAAUUUUU
This 412-nucleotide ribosomal RNA is filed under the name Micropsectra lindrothi. RNAcentral describes it as "partial 16S ribosomal RNA". Lineage: Eukaryota; Metazoa; Arthropoda; Insecta; Diptera; Chironomidae. The record is from RNAcentral.